GCGCCGUGAUGGUACCCCUGUGGAUGUGGCAAGCUUAACUCAAUUGCCAAUGGCUUCAAUGUCCCGUCAUCUUGUAACAAGAGCAGGGUUCUGCUGGCAUAUGUCUUUGUGGUAGUGGAGUUUAUUUUCUGCAGGUAUUGGGAAUUUCAUGAACCGCUCGCCAUCAUUUCGAAUAAGCUCCUUGAGCAUCUCCCAUGUUCUUCCUCUUCUGGGAUAUGGAUGCUCUUUUGAUCCACCAAGAACAGGGCGGGCAUACGAUGGACCGUCAUCCGGACUCCCCAAAUCAUUGUAGUAAUCAUAGUCAUAUACUCUGUCCCAUUCUUUCAGCUCACCUUUCCCAUCUCCUCUGAGAUUUAUAAGUUCUUCUUCUCUAUAUUUGCGUAAUGGCUCUGGUGUUUCACUUGGAAGCUUUGCCACGCCGAAAAAAGUUAUGAUGUGGAAAGCAAAAGUCUCAACCCAAUCAAGGAAGGAAAGGGCUGUCUAAUCUACCUGGAAAAUCAGACAACAUGAUUUUGCCAGAAAAAGGAGGUAAAUUAGAAAAUCAGUUAAAGCUAGUAAUCAUGAUAGAAAACACCAGCUAUAGUGGGUCUAAGUCUUCAGAGUAAUCAAACCCUUUAAAAUAAUAUUGGGAAAUUGUCCAUGCUUUAAAAAACGCUAAAGAUUAAGAUGAAAACAGAGAGGGUCAAGCUUAGAGUAUUAUUAUUAUUUUUUUACCUUGUUUGAAAAAAAUACA
Molecule: long non-coding RNA, 733 nt
Organism: Mangifera indica (mango)
Lineage: Eukaryota; Viridiplantae; Streptophyta; Magnoliopsida; Sapindales; Anacardiaceae
Exons: 4
Source: RefSeq, a predicted model, not a curated record